Molecule: long non-coding RNA, 269 nt
Filed under: Homo sapiens (human)
Lineage: Eukaryota; Metazoa; Chordata; Mammalia; Primates; Hominidae
Description: non-protein coding JPX:18
Rfam family: JPX transcript, XIST activator conserved region 2 (bases 1-62)
Source: RNAcentral
GAAUAAUUUCUUUCUCGCUGAUCGCCUAACUUCUACUGACGAAGCUUGGAAGUUGCAGAAGGUUGGAGUGCAAUGGCGCGAUCUCGGCUGACUGCAACCUCCACCUCCUGGAUUCAAGCUAUUCUCCUGCCUCAGCCUGCCGAGUAGCUGGGAUUACAGGCAUGUGCCACCGCACCCAGCUAAUUUUGUAUUUUUUAGUAGAGAUGGGGUUUCUCCAUGUUGGUCAGGCUGGUCUUGAACUCCUGACCUCAGGUGAUCCGCCCACCUCA